RNAcentral lists this long non-coding RNA (657 nucleotides) under Bos taurus (domestic cattle). RNAcentral describes it as "long non-coding RNA NONBTAT021805". Lineage: Eukaryota; Metazoa; Chordata; Mammalia; Artiodactyla; Bovidae. The record is from RNAcentral.
GCUGCCGCCACGGGCGGAGGUCUUCUCCUCCAGGAUGAGGCUCCCAACUUUGAAGCAAGUACUACCAUCAGCCGCAUCUGUUUCCAUGACUAUCUGGGAGACUCACAGGGAAUUCUCUUCUCCCAUCCUCGGGACUUUACCCCAGUGUGUACCACAGAACUCGGCAGAGCAGCAAAUCUGGCACCAGAACUUGCCAAGAGAAAAGUUAAGAUGAUUGCUCUUUCCAUAGCCAGCGUGGAAGACUAUCUUGCAUGGAGCAAGGAUAUCAAUGCUUACAAUGGUGAAGAGCCACAAAAAAAUUACCUUUUCCUAUCACUGAUGAUAAGAAUGGGGACCUAGUCAUUCAGUUGGGCAUGUUGGACCCACCAGAGAAUGACGAAAAGAACAUGCCUGUGACCGCUCAUGUGGUGUUCACUUUUGGUCCUGAUAAUAAACCAAAACUGUCCAUCCUCUACUCAGCUACCACUGGCAGGAACUUUGAUGAGAUUCUCUUUCCAGCUGAGAGCAGAGAAGAAGGAAGUCACCCCGGCUGAAUGGAAGAAUGGGGACAGCAUGAUGGUCCUUCCAACCAUUCCUGAAGAAGAAGCAAAAACAACGAAUCUUUUCACCAAAGAGCUCCCAUAUGGCAAGGAAUACCUCUACUACACCCCCAGCUAU